Molecule: ribosomal RNA, 152 nt
Filed under: uncultured bacterium
Lineage: Bacteria
Description: partial 16S ribosomal RNA
Rfam family: Bacterial small subunit ribosomal RNA
Source: RNAcentral
CGGAUUUGGAAUGGGCGCAGCCUGAUCAGCCUGCCGCGUGAGUGAUGAAGGCCUUCGGGUUGUAAAGCUCUUUUGGGAGGACGAUAAUGCCUGUACCGCAAGAAUAAGCCCCGGAUAACUUCGUGCCAGCAGCCCGCGGUAAUACAAAAUGC